Canis lupus familiaris (dog) is the source of this 1539-nucleotide long non-coding RNA. RefSeq lists it as uncharacterized. The record is from RefSeq and is a predicted model, not a curated record. The transcript has 4 exons. NCBI's taxonomy places the organism in Eukaryota, Metazoa, Chordata, Mammalia, Carnivora, Canidae.
GCUUAAGAAGCACUAAGCUUCAUAAGUUCAUAUGUGGGAUGCAUCUACUCCACACAGACUCCAGCUAUGUAGAUUGCCAUCCUACUACAUGCUAAAACAGCUGAGAAUGAGCUUUCUUAGGCAAAAUUUCAAGGAAUGAGAACAUAUUUAACUCAAGGAGGAGUAAUGGGAUACAACUUCUCACCCCUCCAGGCAGGGUACAGGUCUGAUGGCAGACAACCAGCAGCUUCUCCAGUAGCUCCUCCAACAGCUUCCUUCUCACUCUGAAAAUAAGACACAGAACCAGAUAACACAGCAUCCAAAGGCGGGAAAACAUAAGCACAAAUUUUUUGCAAGUCACAAAGGAAACAUGAAUACUUCUGUUGGCUUAUUUUGCAAAACAAAUGAAAUCUAUUUUUCUUAAUCUUCUCUAUGCUAUCAUCCAGGACAUUCCUGGCUACAAAUGAGAAAAAGGAAGACAAAAAGAUGGAACAGACAAGGAAGAGAAAAAGGAGGAAAGAGAAGAGGACAAAGUAGAGAACAAGAAAAAGCAUACAGUCAGAAUUUAUUAUUUUUUAUCUGAAUAAAUGAGGUAGUUAAUAAUGGACAGUAAAUGCUUGACCAGAGUCCUCAAAAGGGGAGCAAACCAUUGAAAAACUACUUUUUAUCAGGCACUAUCUUAUUUUUCUUAUUUUCUUAUUUUAGCCUUAAGAUCAAAUUGGGAAAUAGGCCAUCUUUUGGCAAUCAGAAAAUUAGAAACAGACAUUUUUAGCAACAUUGAUGUGGGAAAUAAAGGCAAGAGAAAAAUAGAAUUAAAUCUCCUUACUGCCUACAGCCCACUGACAAGUCCUUGAAACUGGUAAUCUUCCUCUAUAGCUCAGCUGCCUCAAUGUUGACACUUUGCUAAAGGCAAAGGCAAUCUUAGUUUAACAAUAUCCUGACCUCCCCAGGGUCCUGUAAAUCUAAUUUAACAUAUAAAAAUUCCUUUGGAAUUUCCUUUAUCUCUAAUCCUCAAAAUACAUUUUAGCAAUCUGUCCUCCAAGGAUACAGCCCACUGAUAUACACCUGAAAGAUCUCAUGACUAAGGUUUUCUUAGACAGUAAUAAAUGAUUUUUCCCUAACUAGCUAGCCCCCCAAGAUCCUAGAAACCUUACUUCCAAAAUUUCUCAGAGACUUACACUAUCCCUAACCCUCUCCCAACAUGAAAAUAUAUAACCAGUGACCCAUCUCAACCCCAGUGCACCUCUUUCUGUCCACAGGUCAUGUCCUCAUGAUUUAAUAAAACCACCAUUUACACCAAAGAUAUCUCUAGAAUUCUUUCUUGGCCAUCAGCUCCAAACCCCAAGAUUUCUACAUUGCAAUGCCUGGUUUUGUGUGCUAUUUAAGUCGGAACUAGAAUUGGAUUCCAAUUUCUUUGAUUAUUUAGUUCUUUUAAUUAUUUUAUUAUGCUGCUUCUCAAAUCAGAAGGAAACCAUUCGGGCUGGCAAUUUUUUUUUCUCUACUCCAUGUCUGAUUAUGACAAGUAGUUACAAUAUCUGUGUUUAUUUAUAAAAGCAUGAA